RNAcentral lists this ribosomal RNA (492 nucleotides) under uncultured bacterium. RNAcentral describes it as "partial 16S ribosomal RNA". It matches the Rfam family "Bacterial small subunit ribosomal RNA", at positions 29 to 507 of the family's 1533-position model. The record is from RNAcentral.
AGUGAACGCUGGCGGCAGGCCUAACACAUGCAAGUCGAACGGCAGCACAGUAAGAGUUUGCUCUUACCGGUGGCGAGUGGCGGGCGGGUGAGGAAUACAUCGGAAUCUUCUUUUUCGUGGGUGAUAACGUAGGGAAACUUACGCUAAUACCGCAUACGACCUACGGGUGAAAGCAGGGGAUCUUCGGACCUUGCGCGAUUGAAUGAGCCGAUGUCGGAUUAGCUAGUUGGCGGGGUAAGGGCCCACCAAGGCGACGAUCCGUAGCUGGUCUGAGAGGAUGAUCGGCCACACUGGAACUGAGACACGGUCCAGACUCCUACGGGAGGCAGCAGUGGGGAAUAUUCGGCAAUGGGCGAAAGCCUGAUCCAGCCAUACCGCGUGGGUGAAGAAGGCCUUCGGGUUGUAAAGCCCUUUUGUUGGGAAAGAACAGCUGCAGAUUAAUACCCCGCUGUUCUGACGGUACCCAAAGAAUAAGCACCGGCUAACUUCGUG